Cyprinus carpio (common carp) is the source of this 1155-nucleotide long non-coding RNA. The record is from Ensembl. NCBI's taxonomy places the organism in Eukaryota, Metazoa, Chordata, Actinopteri, Cypriniformes, Cyprinidae.
AUGAGCUGGGCAGAGGAUUAUAUGUCUGAGAUCCUGCAGGAGGAAAGGUCUUUGGAGGAGUAUGUUGAGGAGUUUUUGAGCCUGAUACCUCUGGUGAGUUGGAGCGAUCCCAUGAUAAAUACAUACUUCUGGAUGGGACUCAAAGAUGACAAUCUGUUUCUUUUUUUGACUGCUGACGAUUGUCGCAGACCUGAAGCAGAAUUUGUUAACUAUGUACUCAAUCUAAAUGGUUCCAAGUUCUUCGUCAAUGUGGAUGAUCCUUCUCCUCCUCCCAUCCAGAAGCAUGUGGGUGCUCCAGCUCACCAUAGGCCAGCUCCAUCCACAUACCACUCCAAAGAGCCCACUCCCUCCACUACUUCAGCCCCUUCUCAAGAUCUCCAGAUCUCCUCCCUGACCCUAAGCCCUGUGUCUCCGCUGGUUCCACCCACCCUGGAAUCCCCUGUGUCUCCGCUGGUUCCGCCCAGCCUGGAAUCCCCUGUGUCUCCGCUGGUCCGGUCCAUCCCUGAGCACACCGAUCUCCCGUCAAGCCCAGAAGUGGCUCCCAAAACCCCGACAAGCCCAGGGAGGGCUCCCAAACCCCAGUUAAGCUCAGAAGUGUCUCCCAGAACCCAGACGAGCCCAGGGAGGGCUCCCGAACACCAGUUAAGCUCAGAAGUGGCUCCUGAUUCCCCAUUGAGCCCAGGGAGGGCUCUUGAACCCCAGUUAAGCCCAUUGUCAGCUCCAGGCCCCGAGUCCAGUCCGGUGUAUUGUUCCAAGUAUUUUUUUUUGGGGGGGGGGCGUAGAGACCCUGCCAUAGAGGCCGAGGCGGGGGAUGGGGCCACGGCCUCGGAGCCAGAUCCGCCAGGGCCUCCCGAGGCUCCAGAUCCGCCAGGGCCUCCCGAGGCUCCAGAUCCGCCAGGGCCUCCUGAGGCUCCAGAGCCGCCAUGGCCUCCCGAGGCUCCAGACCCGCCAUGGCCUCCCGAGUUGCCCUGGAGGUCCUCCUCUGCUCCACCCUGUUCCCAUCCGGCACCAACCUCCAGGGUGCCCACCACCCCCUCCCCAGUGUUACGGCUCGGGACGAGCCUUCCGGGAAGGGGGAGUACUGUCACAAGUCGGUCAGGUGCAUCACCCUCAGCUCACUCAUCUCCUGCACCUGUAUACCUUCCAAUCAUCUGA